This 550-nucleotide ribosomal RNA is filed under the name uncultured Pseudomonas sp. RNAcentral describes it as "bacterial SSU rRNA". It matches the Rfam family "Bacterial small subunit ribosomal RNA", at positions 28 to 573 of the family's 1533-position model. Lineage: Bacteria; Pseudomonadati; Pseudomonadota; Gammaproteobacteria; Pseudomonadales; Pseudomonadaceae. The record is from RNAcentral.
AUUGAACGCUGGCGGCAGGCCUAACACAUGCAAGUCGAGCGGUAGAGAGAAGCUUGCUUCUCUUGAGAGCGGCGGACGGGUGAGUAAUGCCUAGGAAUCUGCCUGGUAGUGGGGGAUAACGUUCGGAAACGGACGCUAAUACCGCAUACGUCCUACGGGAGAAAGCAGGGGACCUUCGGGCCUUGCGCUAUCAGAUGAGCCUAGGUCGGAUUAGCUAGUUGGUGAGGUAAUGGCUCACCAAGGCGACGAUCCGUAACUGGUCUGAGAGGAUGAUCAGUCACACUGGAACUGAGACACGGUCCAGACUCCUACGGGAGGCAGCAGUGGGGAAUAUUGGACAAUGGGCGAAAGCCUGAUCCAGCCAUGCCGCGUGUGUGAAGAAGGUCUUCGGAUUGUAAAGCACUUUAAGUUGGGAGGAAGGGUUGUAGAUUAAUACUCUGCAAUUUUGACGUUACCGACAUAAUUUCUCCGGCUAACUCUGUGUCAGCCCCCGCGGUAAUAAAGUGGGUGCAAACGGUAAUCUUAAUUUCUGGUCGUUAAACACCUCGUC